This 2141-nucleotide ribosomal RNA is filed under the name Dictyostelium discoideum. Its description in RNAcentral is "SSU rRNA". The stretch from base 35 to 1904 matches the Rfam family "Eukaryotic small subunit ribosomal RNA". The record is from RNAcentral. Lineage: Eukaryota; Evosea; Eumycetozoa; Dictyosteliales; Dictyosteliaceae.
UGAUUAAUAUCAUGAUACGUGUUAUCUACAUGCUUAACUGGUUGAUCCUGCCAGUAGUCAUAUGCUUGUCUCAAAGAUUAAGCCAUGCAUGUCUAAGUAUAAAUUCUUGUACGAUGAAACUGCAGACGGCUCAUUACAACAGUGAUAAACUAAUAGACUUUCGGGUUUUACCUUUUGGAUAACCGCAGUAAAUCGGGGCUAAUACAUACAAGCGAUGGGUGACUGGCAACGGAAGCUCAGCGAUUAUUAGCAUUCUACCAAUGCCUUCGGGUUUUGGGUGAUACCGAAUAAUAUUGCAGAUCGAGGAUUUAUCUUCGACAAGUCUACUGUGUCACUGCCCUAUCAACUUUCGAUGGUACGGUAUUGGCCUACCAUGGUUGUAACGGGUAACGGGGAAUUAGGGUUCGAUUCCGGAGAGGGAGCCUGAGAAAUGGCUACCACUUCUACGGAAGGCAGCAGGCGCGCAAAUUACUCAAUCCCAAUACGGGGAAGUAGUGACAAUAAAUAUCAAUACCUAUCCUUUUUGGAGGGCAAUUGAAAUGAACACAAAUUAAAACUCUUAAUUAACACAAUUGGAGGGCAAGUCUGGUGCCAGCAGCCGCGGUAAUUCCAGCUCCAAUAGCAUAUACUAAAGUUGUUGCAGUUAAAAAGCUCGUAGUUGAAGUUUAAGGUUUACCGGGUUUAUGUCAUUUACCACUUCGUGGUUAAAUCGACACCGGUAUCUCUUUCUUAAUAGUUCAGCUUGUAUUAUCUUUGAUAGUGCUUGUUUGGACAUUUCACUGUGAGAAAAUUGUGGUGUUUAAAGCAGGCGUCUCGCUGAUCUUUUGCAGCAUGGUAUGAUGAAACAUGACAUUUUACGCUAUUGGUUUGCGUUUAAAGUGUAAUGAUUAAUAGGGAUGGAUGGGGGUGUUCAUAUUGGUGGGCGAGAGGUGAAAUUCGUUGACCCUAUCAAGAUGAACUUCUGCGAAAGCAUUCACCAAAUACUUCCCCAUUAAUCAAGAACGAAAGUUUGGGGAUCGAAGACGAUCAGAUACCGUCGUAGUCCAAACUAUAAACUAUGUCGACCAGGGAUCGGUUAAAAUUUUUUCAAAAUUUAAUCGGCACCUUGUGAGAAAUCAUGAGUGUUUAGAUUCCGGGGGGAGUAUGGUCGCAAGUCUGAAACUUAAAGGAAUUGACGGAAGGGCACACAAUGGAGUGGAGCCUGCGGCUUAAUUUGACUCAACUCGGGAAAACUUACCAAGCUAAGAUAUAGUAAGGAUUGACAGACUAAAAGAUCUUUCAUGAUUCUAUAAGUGGUGGUGCAUGGUCGUUCUUAGUUGGUGGAGCGAUUUGUCUGGUCAAUUCCGAUAACGGACGAGACCUCGACCUGCUAACUAGUAGUAUUUAUUAGUCGAUAUAGACGAUAGCUUUUCUGGGGUUUGGAAUGAUUUCGGUCAUCUCCUGCUUCAAGGAGUGUGUAGUCUGACUCGAUAGGUACGAAUUAAAACUUCUUAGAGGGACUACCUGCCUCAAGCAGGCGGAAGUCCGAGGCAAUAACAGGUCUGUGAUGCCCUUAGAUACCUUGGGCCGCACGCGCGCUACAAUGUAGGAAACAAAAAGGCUCCUGGUCCGGAAGGAUUGGGUAAUCAUUUGAAUUUCCUACGUAACUGGGCUUGAUCUUUGUAAUUAUUGAUCAUAAACGAGGAAUUCCUUGUAAGCGUAAGUCAUUACCUUAUGCUGAAUAUGUCCCUGCCCUUUGUACACACCGCCCGUCGCUCCUACCGAUCGAAUGAUACGGUAAAGUUAACGGAUCGUUUUAUCUGUGGCAACACUGAUAUAAAUUAAAAGUUAUUUAAAUCUCAUUGUUUAGAGGAAGGAGAAGUCGUAACAAGGUAUCCGUAGGUGAACCUGCGGAUGGAUCAUUUUUUAUCUUAAUAUCAUAAACUUUAUGUUUUUUUGGAUAAUGGAACUGCUUGCGUAUAAAGAAAUUAGGCUUUUUAAUUAAGGUUUAAGAGUAAGUUGGCUUGUCAGAUUUAUUGUCUCGAUGCUAUUAAUAUGUUUUCUUAAGACAAAUUGUUUAUAGUAUUUUGAUAAAAAAAGUCAAUUGGGUAACACCAAUUGAAUCCAUCUAGCAAUAUGUUACACAUGUUACGACAUAAAAU